GUAGGGUGCGAGCGUUAAUCGGAGUUACUGGGCGUAAAGUGUGCGCAGGCGGUCUCGCAAGUCAAGUGUGAAAGCCCCGGGCUUAACCUGGGAACUGCGCUUGAAACUACGAGACUCGAGUGUGGCAGAGGAAGGUGGAAUUCCACGUGUAGCGGUGAAAUGCGUAGAGAUGUGGAGGAACACCGAUGGCGAAGGCAGCCUUCUGGGCCAACACUGACGCUCAUGCACGAAAGCGUGGGGAGCAAACAGGAUUAGAUACCCUGGUAGUCCACGCCCUAAACGAUGAUGACUAGUUGUUGGAGGAGUUAAAUCCUUUAGUAACGCASUAACGCGUGAAGUCAUCCGCCUGGGGAGUACGGUCGCAAGAUUA
Molecule: ribosomal RNA, 370 nt
Filed under: uncultured bacterium
Lineage: Bacteria
Description: bacterial SSU rRNA
Rfam family: Bacterial small subunit ribosomal RNA
Source: RNAcentral